Long non-coding RNA from Mauremys reevesii (Reeves's turtle), 672 nucleotides. RefSeq lists it as uncharacterized. The transcript has 4 exons. The record is from RefSeq and is a predicted model, not a curated record. Lineage: Eukaryota; Metazoa; Chordata; Testudines; Geoemydidae.
CGGCUCGCGGCCGGCUCCGCCCCGGGGGGCGGGCAGGGGAAGCGGCUCCCCUCGCACUAACCGGGGCAGGGACGUGGCGGGCGAAACCCGGGCCGGGCAGGAGAGGAGGGGCUGCCGCCCCGGGCCCCUCGUCCUGCCCCCGUCCGUGCCCGGAGGGGCCCCAAGUGCAGGCACCGGCUGCCCCGCUGUUCCCUCACGUGCGGGAUCCCCGGCCUAGCCAGGAGCCUGGCCACCGUGGGCGAGGUUCAUUAUAACAAAAGGAUGCACUCUGCACGACCUUGGGAGCCUUUGACAUUGGGAAAUCAAAAGGGUGGUGACACUAAGGAAAACUAUUGUCCAGAAAAAUAAGCCUCUCCAAGGGGCACCAAGAAUCCACAAUAAAAUCCCUGUUUCCAAGAAAAUUCAGGCAUUUCCAUCAAAAAAGACUGUGUUUACAGGACUGGUCCAGAGUGUCCAUGAGAUUCUAAGGAAAAACUAUUCUCAUAUGACUUUUCUUCAUUAACUACAUUACUUAAGAGAAAUACAUAAUCGUAAGACUUGCGACAUGGCUCAGAACAAGACUUUGAAGCCCACCCGCUGAAGUUCCCAUCUAUUGAGACAACUUCUACAGGCACCAGGACAAUUUCAUCCUACUUUCCUAAAUUAGAGAUUGUGUCACUUUACAUAGAAAAC